This 253-nucleotide ribosomal RNA is filed under the name uncultured bacterium. RNAcentral's name for it is "partial 16S ribosomal RNA". It matches the Rfam family "Bacterial small subunit ribosomal RNA", at positions 524 to 776 of the family's 1533-position model. The record is from RNAcentral.
GACAUAGGUGGCGAACGUUAUCCGGAAUUAUUGGGCGUAAAGGGUGCGUAGGCGGUUUGGUAAGUCUUAUGUGAAAUCUACAGGCUCAACUUGUAGUCUGCAUGAGAAACUGCCGGGCUUGAGUGUGGGAGAGGUGAGUGGAAUUCCUGGUGUAGCGGUGAAAUGCGUAGAUAUCAGGAGGAACACCUGUGCCGAAAGCGGCUCACUGGACCAUAACUGACGCUGAUGCACGAAAGCUAGGGGAGCAAACAGG